ACGCACGCUGGCGGCGUGCUUCACACAUGCCAGUCGAACGGAAAGGCCCUGCUUUUGUGGGGUGCUCGAGUGGCGAACGGGUGAGUAACACGUGAGUAACCUGCCCUUGACUUUGGGAUAACUUCAGGAAACUGGGGCUAAUACCGGAUAGGAGCUCCUGCUGCAUGGUGGGGGUUGGAAAGUUUCGGCGGUUGGGGAUGGACUCGCGGCUUAUCAGCUUGUUGGUGGGGUAGUGGCUUACCAAGGCUUUGACGGGUAGCCGGCCUGAGAGGGUGACCGGCCACAAUGGGACUGAGAUACGGCCCAGACUCCUACGGGAGGCAGCAGUGGGGAAUAUUGCACAAUGGGCGGAAGCCUGAUGCAGCAACGCCGCGUGCGGGAUGACGGCCUUCGGGUUGUAAACCGCUUUCGCCUGUGACGAAGCGUGAGUGACGGUAAUGGGUAAAGAAGCACCGGCUAACUACGUG
This 467-nucleotide ribosomal RNA is filed under the name uncultured bacterium. Its description in RNAcentral is "partial 16S ribosomal RNA". It matches the Rfam family "Bacterial small subunit ribosomal RNA", at positions 29 to 507 of the family's 1533-position model. The record is from RNAcentral.